Molecule: long non-coding RNA, 608 nt
Filed under: Monodelphis domestica (gray short-tailed opossum)
Lineage: Eukaryota; Metazoa; Chordata; Mammalia; Didelphimorphia; Didelphidae
Description: lncRNA (ENSMODG00000037982.1)
Source: RNAcentral
ACUAGUUGUAAAAGUUUCUAUUGUUCUCCAAAUUUCUUCCUUUAUCUCAAGGUUUGUUUGAUAAGACUAUCUAGAUUUUAUCUUGGAAAUGACUCAGAGAAACUAAUCCUGAUUGGAUACAUCUGGCAAAAGAAUGCUUAUCUCCACAUCACUUUUCUGGCCUUGGGGCUCAGAAUAAGAAUAAUACCCUUCUUAUAUAUAGCACCUUUUAAACAAAGACUUAAAACAUCUGAUGGUUCUGCCCCAAGUAUAACUAUUCCAAUUUUUUCUGAUGGUGGAAGAAUAGAGAAGUUAUCUAAACACCAAUUCUACAAUAAGUUAGUGAAGCAAUUCAGGAUUUUCUUUUUCCUAAGCCUCAGUUGGACUCUUGUAUUAAUUGAAAAUGAAGAUAAGGUUAUACCCAGAGGUCACAGGAUGGCAUGGAGAAAAAGCAGCAGGAAUCAACCAAGUCUCAGGGGUUGCUGGUGGAAAACAAGAGAGGUGCAUCCAAAGUUAACUUACAUCAUAUACCAAAGGAAGCUAUAAUUUUGGAAUAUGGGAUCUUAAAGACUUCAUCCUCUAAUCUCCUCAUUUUGUAAAUGAAGAAAAUAAAACUCGAAAACCAGACA